RNAcentral lists this ribosomal RNA (651 nucleotides) under Triticum aestivum (bread wheat). RNAcentral's name for it is "partial small subunit ribosomal RNA". The record is from RNAcentral. Lineage: Eukaryota; Viridiplantae; Streptophyta; Magnoliopsida; Poales; Poaceae.
AUGGCUAGUCCUCUAUCUUCUCCGUUGUCUCCCGAGAAUGUAGUUCUUAAUUUUAAGCAAAGGGAGGGAGAAAAUCUAAAAGACGCUUGGUAUAGAAUUUGCAAUGCUCAAAAUAGAUCUACCAGGAAGCAUUCUACUUCCGUUCUUCUCCGCAACCUUUAUGUAGGCGCUACUCCUUGGUACAGAUAUAUCCUUGAUACCAUUACCGGAGGGAAUUUCUUGGGUAGCCAUACUUUUGAUUCUUAUAAUGCUAUGAUAGAUUUGUUUGGCUCACCACCUCUUUUGGUUAAUGGAACUAUGUUAACUUUGGAGCAUGUAAUGCAAAGACUUGAAAUUAUUGAAAAUAAAGUUGCUACCGUAGAGUUAAUUGAAAAUUUGGAUAAAAAGAUCCACAACCAAAUUACCCAAUAUGGAUCUAAAGUAGGAGUCACUUUGAAAAAUAUUAAGAAGAAGGAACCCAUAGUUAAUGAAAGAAUAAAUCAGGAUUCCACUAGAAUCGAUAAACUUGAGGGUAUCAUUAUCAACUUGGGGACUGCUUUCUCUUCCGUAAAAAAUACUCCAAGUCCUCCAACUAAAAUUGCCAAGCUUAUUUAUGUUCCUAAAAAUAAAGGUGAAUCCUCUAGCAAGGAGACAGCGGACUCGAAUCUAUAA